This 429-nucleotide ribosomal RNA is filed under the name Bacillota bacterium. RNAcentral describes it as "Firmicutes bacterium partial 16S ribosomal RNA". It matches the Rfam family "Bacterial small subunit ribosomal RNA", at positions 355 to 776 of the family's 1533-position model. The record is from RNAcentral. Lineage: Bacteria; Bacillati; Bacillota.
UGGGGAAUUUUGGACAAUGGGCGAAAGCCUGAUCCAGCAAUGCCGCGUGUGUGAAGAAGGCCUUCGGGUUGUAAAGCACUUUUGUCCGGAAAGAAAUGGCUCUGGUUAAUACCUGGGGUCGAUGACGGUACCGGAAGAAUAAGGACCGGCUAACUACGUGCCAGCAGCCGCGGUAAUACGUAGGGUCCAAGCGUUAAUCGGAAUUACUGGGCGUAAAGCGUGCGCAGGCGGUUGUGCAAGACCGAUGUGAAAUCCCCGAGCUUAACUUGGGAAUUGCAUUGGUGACUGCACGGCUAGAGUGUGUCAGAGGGGGGUAGAAUUCCACGUGUAACAGUGAAAUGCGUAGAGAUGUGGAGGAAUACCGAUGGCGAAGGCAGCCCCCUGGGAUAACACUGACGCGCAUGCACGAAAGCGUGGGGAGCAAACAGG